Malus domestica (apple) is the source of this 1940-nucleotide non-coding RNA. The record is from RefSeq and is a predicted model, not a curated record. Lineage: Eukaryota; Viridiplantae; Streptophyta; Magnoliopsida; Rosales; Rosaceae.
CGCUCUGCUGAUUUAUUUCACAGUCACUUAUUCUCACAGCACAACCGCUUAUUCUCACAGCAGCUUUUUUUUAAAGCACAGCAAUACCAAACCAGCCCGUAGUGCCAACCUGAGUCACAGUUGAAGUUCAUUACAGAGGCCUGGCUACAGUUGAAUAUAGGCGUGUACUAAAAUGGACAUAUGCUGAUGGAUAUUAUUGGCCGGAGCAUGAACAUGUCAAGUUCUUUGGGUUCUUGCAAGGUGAAGCUGAGUCUGGGUUGGAACGGCCUCAUCAAUGUGCAGAAAAUGAGCCACAAGUUUACCUCAAUGGUAAAUCUGGACGAUCUAAGAUGUCACAGUCAUCUAAAAACAUUGGCAGUGAUGGUGAUGGUGAUGAGGAUUGGUCAUGAAUUUCUGAGUUGCUGUCGAGAAUGCUACUUUCAGAAACAAAUUGAUAAACAAAUGGCAGAGGAAGACAGAGGUGACCACAGAUGCUGCUGCUAUUAAAAGCAAACUGCAUGCUUUUAAUCAAGUCUGGCUCUAUAAUUGAACUUGUAACCAUGCCUUUCCCUAUGAAGGACUUGUGCCAUGCUUUGCCAGAUAUUCACCAGGAAUACAUUUUUCCUUUCCCAAUCGCUGAAUAUUAGCGAACAAGUUGCUUCAUAUAUGAGAGAUCCAAGCAGAAUGGUUAGGCAGAUGCAGAUGAGGAAAUCAGCAGUUGCUGUAUUUGGUACCUGUUCCUGAGGGGUACAACUCUGCAAAGGGAGAGGUACUGACUGCAUGUAAUUGUGGUCAACUAUAAUCCUAUACUGAUUGCAUGUAAGUUCAUUGGAAUCGAAUGUCCAUGGAAUUUACGUUUUUUCCAUGUGCUGUUGUAAGUUUUUAACUCCCAAAUGAGGUACAAAUUAAUUGUUUGGGAUGGAUGCAGUCUAUAAUUAGUUUGAUACUACGUUUGAACAAAUUUGGGUUGUUUGUGGUGUUUGGUACUUUGCUUCAUUUUUCUUUUUGGAUGGCCCAAUGUGACUUGAUGAAUUUGUUUCUUUUAUUGCUACAAGAAAAGAUCAUGCAACCUGUGUGUGAGGACUGUGACGGUUUCAAUACUCUUCAUGCGCCAUUACCUUUAAUUGCAUCUUUAUGUUUAAAAUUAGUAUUCGUUUGCCGCUUCGAUGUGUAGCCUGUAAGGUUUGCUUUAAUUAUCUCUUUGAUGUGUUAUAAAAGUUAUAUUUCUAUUUGCACAAGUUAAGUACUUUUAUUCCUUCACUCUGAUAAGACACAAUCUGAUGCUGGUGCAAAAGCUGAUGGUGACCCCUUGGAUGACUCUGAGUUUUACCAGCAAUUUCUAAAAGAAUGUUUUGAGACAAUUGACCCAGCAACUUUUGGUAAAACUAUUGGGCAUCUCAUACUUCAUAUAUGAAUGAUUGCAUUUGAAUUUGAUAUACGGUUUACCCAAUCUAUAAGAUUUCCUGUAGUUCAAAACACAUGUAAUCAGAUUGCAUAUAAAAACUGUGGCUUUUGGAAAUUGUUAAGGAUUGUAUUGUCCUAAGUGAUGUCCGGUAUCCUCCUUAAUUUGCUGCUUUGGAUAUGUGGAGUUGAUGAACAUGAUUUUCAGACAAUUCGGACUCGUCUAACCAACUUUAAGAACUAAAUCUGAGUCAUGAGGAGAGUUUUAUUCAAACAAUCUGUAUCUGCAGCCAUUGAAGUCAAUGACACUGUAUUGCUCAGCUUAUAGUGGGCUUGGAACCUAAUCGAUCCCGAACUUCUAUUGUUCAAGUUUUUGUGUUUUUGUAACUUUAAAAAUGGAACAAGCUAGCAGUGACAAUGUUUAUGAGAAGACAGAAAAUUUCAUGGCUCCAGAGACCGUGGUCGUUUCUCCUAUGCUUCCUGACCUUAAUAAUUUGUUCGGGUUGAAGAAGCAGAAACCAGCUUUCGUAGUGUAGUAGCAACGCAAGGCUGAAUCAGCU